UUUACCCCUUCUGUGCCGUAGCUUACGCGUUAAGUAUCCCUCCUGGGGAUUACGGCCGCAAGUUUUAUACUCAAAGGAAUUGACGGGGGCCCGCACAAGCAGCGGAGCGUGUGGUUUAAUUCGAUGAUACGCGAAGAACCUUACCUGGGCUUGACAUGGUGGUAGUAGUGAAGCGAAAGCGGAACGACCCUUCGGGGAGCCAUCACAGGUGCUGCAUGGCUGUCGUCAGCUCGUGUCGUGAGAUGUUGGGUUAAGUCCCGCAACGAGCGCAACCCUCGUCGCUAGUUAUAUGUGUCUAGUGAGACUGCCGGUAUCAAACCGGAGGAAGGUGGGGAUGACGUCAAGUCAGCAUGGUCUUUAUGUCCAGGGCUACACACACGCUACAAUGGCCGGUACAAUGGGUUGCCAUACCGCGAGGUGGAGCUAAUCCUCAAAGCCGGUCUCAGUUCGGAUUCCAGUCUGCAACUCGACUGCAUGAAGGUGGAGUUGCUAGUAACCGCGCGUCAGCAAUAGCCCGGUGAAUGCGUUCCCGGGCAUUGUACGCACCGCCCGUCACAUCAUGGGAGUCGGCAACACCUGAAGUCGGUGACCAAACCGAAAGGUAGGAACUGC
RNAcentral lists this ribosomal RNA (612 nucleotides) under uncultured organism. Its description in RNAcentral is "bacterial SSU rRNA". It matches the Rfam family "Bacterial small subunit ribosomal RNA", at positions 831 to 1456 of the family's 1533-position model. The record is from RNAcentral.